Molecule: ribosomal RNA, 429 nt
Filed under: Bacillota bacterium
Lineage: Bacteria; Bacillati; Bacillota
Description: Firmicutes bacterium partial 16S ribosomal RNA
Rfam family: Bacterial small subunit ribosomal RNA
Source: RNAcentral
UGGGGAAUUUUGGACAAUGGGCGAAAGCCUGAUCCAGCAAUGCCGCGUGUGUGAAGAAGGCCUUCGGGUUGUAAAGCACUUUUGUCCGGAAAGAAAUGGCUCUGGUUAAUACCUGGGGUCGAUGACGGUACCGGAAGAAUAAGGACCGGCUAACUACGUGCCAGCAGCCGCGGUAAUACGUAGGGUCCAAGCGUUAAUCGGAAUUACUGGGCGUAAAGCGUGCGCAGGCGGUUGUGCAAGACCGAUGUGAAAUCCACGAGCUUAACUUGGGAAUUGCAUGGGUCACUGCAAGGCUAGAGUGUGGCAGAGGGGGGUAGAAUUCCGCGUGUAGCAGUGAAAUGCGUAGAGAUGUGGAGGAAUACCGAUGGCGAAGGCAGCCCCCUGGGAUAACACUCACGAUAAUGCACGAAAGCGUGGGGAGCAAACAGG